RNAcentral lists this small RNA (115 nucleotides) under Chrysemys picta bellii (western painted turtle). RNAcentral describes it as "TUC338 (ENSCPBG00000009571.1)". The record is from RNAcentral. Lineage: Eukaryota; Metazoa; Chordata; Testudines; Emydidae.
CUGUUUAUCUACAUGGCUGGUCUAGUAUAGUCAAUGACAACACAAGCUUCCCCAUUGCCUCAACAAUAUGCCUAAUUCUUGGAUAGCCUGUUGAGUCCAUCAAUAAGGAUGCCAG